RNAcentral lists this ribosomal RNA (906 nucleotides) under Fonsecaea minima. Its description in RNAcentral is "LSU rRNA". It matches the Rfam family "Eukaryotic large subunit ribosomal RNA", at positions 36 to 964 of the family's 3401-position model. Lineage: Eukaryota; Fungi; Ascomycota; Eurotiomycetes; Chaetothyriales; Herpotrichiellaceae. The record is from RNAcentral.
UAGCAUAUCAAUAAGCGCAGGAAAAGAAACCAACAGGGAUUGCCUCAGUAACGGCGAGUGAAGCGGCAACAGCUCAAAUUUGAAAUCUGGCCUCUCGGGGUCCGAGUUGUAAUUUGUAGAGGAUGUUUCGGGUACCGCCUCGGUUUAAAUUUCUUGGAACAGAAUGUCAAAGAGGGUGAGAAUCCCGUCUUGGACCGGCGGUAGGGCCUAUGUGAAACUCCUUCGACGAGUCGAGUUGUUUGGGAAUGCAGCUCAAAAUGGGUGGUAAAUUUCAUCUAAAGCUAAAUAUUGGCCAGAGACCGAUAGCGCACAAGUAGAGUGAUCGAAAGAUGAAAAGCACUUUGAAAAGAGAGUUAAACAGUAUGUGAAAUUGUUGAAAGGGAAGCGCUUGCAACCAGACUUGAGCGCGGCGGUUCCCCCUUGCUUCUGCUUGGGUUACUCCGCCGUGUCCAGGCCAACAUCGGUUCUGGGGGUCGGUCAAAGGCCUUGGGAAUGUAUCUACCCACGGGUAGACUUAUAGACCAGGGUGUCAUGCGACCUCCCGGGACCGAGGAACGCGCUUCGGCUCGGAUGUUGGCGUAAUGGUUGUCAGCGACCCGUCUUGAAACACGGACCAAGGAGUCUAACAUCUAUGCGAGUGUUUGGGUGUCAAACCCGGAACGCGGAAUGAAAGUGAACGGAGGUAGGAAGCUUCGGCUGCACUAUCGACCGAUCCUGAAGUUUACGGAUGGAUUUGAGUAAGAGCAUAGCUGUUGGGACCCGAAAGAUGGUGAACUAUGCCUGAAUAGGGUGAAGCCAGAGGAAACUCUGGUGGAGGCUCGCAGCGGUUCUGACGUGCAAAUCGAUCGUCAAAUUUAGGUAUAGGGGCGAAAGACUAAUCGAACCAUCUGGUAGCUGGUUCUGCGA